Molecule: ribosomal RNA, 251 nt
Filed under: uncultured bacterium
Lineage: Bacteria
Description: partial 16S ribosomal RNA
Rfam family: Bacterial small subunit ribosomal RNA
Source: RNAcentral
UACGAAGGGGGCUAGCGUUGUUCGGAGUCACUGGGCGUAAAGGGCGCGUAGGCGGCUUUGUAAGUCGGGGGUGAAAGCCUGUGGCUCAACCACAGAAUUGCCUUCGAUACUGUCUGGCUAGAGACCGGAAGAGGUAAGUGGAACUGCGAGUGUAGAGGUGAAAAUUCGUAGAUAUUCGCAAGAACACCAGUCGGCGAAGGCGGACUUGACGUGGUCCGGUUCUGACGCUGAGGCGCGAAAGCGUGGGGAGC